This 225-nucleotide ribosomal RNA is filed under the name uncultured bacterium. Its description in RNAcentral is "partial 16S ribosomal RNA". It matches the Rfam family "Bacterial small subunit ribosomal RNA", at positions 95 to 334 of the family's 1533-position model. The record is from RNAcentral.
UAGGCGUACGGGUGAGUAACACGUGGAUGAUCUACCCUGGAGUGGGGAAUAACGCUGGGAAACCGGCGCUAAUACCGCAUAUUCCCGAGAGGGGAAAGCAGCAAUGCGCUCGAGGAGGAGUCCGCGGCCGAUUAGCUAGUUGGCAGGGUAAAAGCCUACCAAGGCUAUGAUCGGUAGCCGGCCUGAGAGGGCACACGGCCACACUGGCACUGAAACACGGGCCAG